RNAcentral lists this ribosomal RNA (1416 nucleotides) under Triticum aestivum (bread wheat). Its description in RNAcentral is "partial small subunit ribosomal RNA". The record is from RNAcentral. Lineage: Eukaryota; Viridiplantae; Streptophyta; Magnoliopsida; Poales; Poaceae.
AUGGCGGGGGAGGCAGAAAGGAGGAAACGCGCGGCGGUGGUUGUGCUGGGCGACAUCGGCCGCAGUCCCCGGAUGCAGUACCACUCCCUCUCCCUCGCCAGCCAGGCUGGUAUGGAAGUGGACAUUGUUGCAAACGGAGGAAGUGGUCCCCAUUUAUCACUGAGAGAGAAUCCGUCGAUUCACAUCCAUGAGAUGAAAUCAGUGCAGUUAUCAGGAGUUUCAAAGAUAUCUGGGGCCCUGGCACUGCUACUUAAAGCUGCCAUCCAGUUUAUCAUGCUGAUUUGGUUUCUCUGCUUUAAGAUUCCUCGCCCUGAUGUCUUCAUUGUUCAGAAUCCACCCUCCGUUCCAACAUUGGCUGCUGUAAAAGUGGUUAGCUGGCUAAGAGGUGCUAAAUUUAUUGUGGAUUGGCAUAACUUUGGAUAUACUUUGCUUGGAUUGUCUCAUGGCAGAAGUAACGUAAUAGUCAAAAUUUAUUUCUGGUUCGAGAAGCACUUUGGGCGGAUGGCUGAUGGUGCCUUUUGUGUUACAAAAGCAAUGCAACACGAGCUUUCUCAAAAUUGGGGAAUCAAAGCAACAGUUCUUUAUGAUCAUUCUCCUGAAUUUUUCCAUCCUGCUUCCUUGACGGAGAAAUAUGAGUUGUUCUGCAGGUUGGGUACUUCCAUUUGUAGUGCUAUGGGCAGUGCUGAUUGCAUCUCUGUUGAAAAAGAAGUGGAAGACAAGAGCACUACUGUGCUUACUAGCAAGAUUGAUGGUGGAGUUUUUUUUAAGCCUAAUAGACCUGCACUUGUUAUGAGCAGCACAAGCUGGACACCAGAUGAAGAUUUCAGUAUACUUCUGGAAGCAGCACUGAUGUAUGAUAGACGUGUUGCUGCAACAUUAGGUGAAGAGGAUUCAAUGGAUGAGGGGCAGCUUUGGAUUGAUAUCAAGAGCGGGAAGCAAUUUGAUUACCCGAGAUUGCUUUUCAUUAUCACAGGUAAAGGGCCUGAUAGAAAGAAAUAUGAGGAACAGAUAAAAAGGUUAAAACUGAGACGUGUUGCCUUCCGGACUAUGUGGCUUGCAUCGGAGGACUAUCCUCUAUUGCUAGGAUCAGCUGAUCUAGGCGUAUCGUUGCAUACAUCCUCGUCGGGGCUUGAUCUACCUAUGAAGGUGGUUGAUAUGUUUGGAUGUGGAUUACCAGUUUGUGCUGCUUCAUUCUCCUGCAUCGAGGAGCUUGUGAAAGUAAACAGAAAUGGACUUCUUUUCUCAACAUCUUCGGAGCUUGCAGACGAACUUAUGAUGCUCUUUAAGGGAUUUCCAGAGGAAUGUGACACCUUGAAAUCUCUGAAUAGUGGUGCCUUGAGUACAGGGUCAUCUUCCAAAUGGUCAACAGAAUGGGAAACUAAUGCACUUCCUUUGGUGAAGCAGGUGAUUGGCUAA